UAACACGACGUAUGUUAAGGAGUCUGCAAACCCUUGAUUUAAGGUACAAAAUGAAGCUUGAAAUAAUGACCAGGCUGAUUCUCUUGGCCCUUGCAGCUACUUGCUAUGGAAAACUAGCUUACCGCCACGUUGGCUGCUACAACGAACAAGAGCGUUCCUUCCCGAAAUAUCUCGGCCAUAAAGAGAAGUGGGCAUGCGCGGCAACAGCUUUACUAAAAGGGUACAAGGCCUUUGCGCUUCAAAAUGGGAAAGAGUGCUGGACAGGACCUAACUCUCACAUCAGCUACAACAAAUAUGGCGUUUCCACAAGCUGUAAGAAAGGAAAGGGAGGCAAUAUGUCAAAUGAUGUUUACAUUAUUGGUGGUUUUUCGACUAAGAAAACCAGAUGCGGUGAAAAGGACUUCGUCGGUCUUCGUCCCAAUAAUGCAAUCAAAAACUGCAAAACUCAGAAAGCAAAGAAACCCCACUCUCAAUCAGGGAUAUAUUGGAUGAACCCUAAUGGACAAAAGGCUUUCCAAGGAUAUUGUGACAUGGAUACUGCUGGUGGAGGAUGGACGCUGGUUUACAGUUACACUUUUACUAAUUAUAAGUCGUUCUUCACAUCAGGUAGUAAUGCUGUUACUCCUCAGCCCGACUGGCCAUUUUCAGGUCGUACCAACACCCGAAGAUCUACGGAACCACCUCUAAGCAAGACCCAUUACGCGGCCAUGCACUUCAAACUGUGGAAGACGAUUGGCUCUGAGUUUAUGAUUAAAUCCAACAUCAACCACUGGAUCAAAUUAUACUGAAGGCUCAGGUAGUUUGGUAAAAUUUAARACUGGCACUAUUAACUGCAAGGUAGUUAAGAAUAUUGUGGCCAAAUGCCAGAAUGUUGCACCCGACUAUUUCGUAAUAAAGGCUGGGAACCAUGGACCAUAUUUGAGUCGUAAAUCAGGAAGCUUGUAUUAUUAUUAUGAUGCCUACACAAAGAGCAACGCUCCGACCCAUGACCCUUGCGGUACCAACAAAGGAAACCAGUUGAAUGGUGUGGACAACCCCCAUGGUAACAUCUAUAUUCGUUAAAAACUGAGAGAUAAAUGCUUUAUCAUAAGUGCAUACAUUAAAAAUUAAUGGGCAAACACUAAGGUUAAUAUGAAGAAAGUUAAUACUAUUCUGUAUCCACUUAUUAUCAAUAAAGUUUAAUCUUGUUACCGCAUGUUUUAUGUAGUGCAUUUUACUAGUAUAUAGAGGA
Molecule: RNA transcript, 1231 nt
Organism: Exaiptasia diaphana
Lineage: Eukaryota; Metazoa; Cnidaria; Anthozoa; Actiniaria; Aiptasiidae
Exons: 8
Source: RefSeq, a predicted model, not a curated record